Molecule: ribosomal RNA, 253 nt
Filed under: uncultured bacterium
Lineage: Bacteria
Description: partial 16S ribosomal RNA
Rfam family: Bacterial small subunit ribosomal RNA
Source: RNAcentral
UACGGGGGGGGCAAGCGUUGUUCGGAAUUACUGGGCGUAAAGGGCUCGUAGGCGGCCAACUAAGUCAGACGUGAAAUCCCUCGGCUUAACCGGGGAACUGCGUCUGAUACUGGAUGGCUUGAAUCCGGGAGAGGGAUGCGGAAUUCCAGGUGUAGCGGUGAAAUGCGUAGAUAUCAGGAGGAACACCGAUGGCGAAGGCAGGUCUCUGGGCCACUACUGACGCUGAGAAGCGAAAGCAUGGGGAGCGAACAGG